GCGUUGGUGGUUCAGUGGUAGAAUGCUCGCCUGCCACGCGGGCGACCCGGGUUCGAUUCCCGGCUAACGCA
This 71-nucleotide transfer RNA is filed under the name Romanomermis culicivorax. It matches the Rfam family "tRNA". Rfam says of the family: Transfer RNA (tRNA) molecules are approximately 80 nucleotides in length. RNAcentral also lists the same sequence under 2 other names. Lineage: Eukaryota; Metazoa; Nematoda; Enoplea; Mermithida; Mermithidae. The record is from Rfam by way of RNAcentral.